Sorghum bicolor (sorghum) is the source of this 1458-nucleotide RNA transcript. It is a transcript of the gene named serine/arginine-rich SC35-like splicing factor SCL28, with no coding region annotated. The transcript has 8 exons. NCBI's taxonomy places the organism in Eukaryota, Viridiplantae, Streptophyta, Magnoliopsida, Poales, Poaceae. The record is from RefSeq and is a predicted model, not a curated record.
UGCUCCCACCUUGUCAAGAGCCUUCUGCGAGGACCGCGUCACAAAACACCCAUGGUCCCGAGCCAAACCCCGGAGAAACCCUAGCAAGACCGGUUGUCCCUCUCAGGCGCGGCGCGGUGCGGUGCGGCAUCCCCGACGAACGAUGGCCGGAUAUCGCAGUCGGAGUCCGAGUGGGAGCUACAGCCCGCGGCGGCGGUACAGCCGGAGCCCUCCUAGGCGCAAGCGCUACGACGACCCCCGGGACCGUUACCGCUGGGCCGGGGCCGGCGGAGGCGGGGACCGACGCGGUUACGGUCGGCCUUCGGCGCAGUCCGGUCUCCUCAUCCGCAACAUCUCCCUCACAGCCAGGCCAGAAGAUAUUCGUGUUCCAUUUGAGCAAUUCGGUCCUAUAAAGGACGUUUACUUACCGAGGAAUUUCCACACCAGGGAACUUCGUGGUUUUGGAUUUGUCAAAUUCCGCUACCCUGAGGAUGCUGCAGUUGCCAAGCAAGAGAUGAAUCAUCAAGUCAUCGGUGGUCGAGAAAUUUCAAUAGUUUAUGCUGAGGAGAAUCGAAAAACGCCACAAGAAAUGCGCAGGAGAACAAGAACGAGUGGUAGGUACAUGGAGGGAAGAUACACAAGACGAUCACUAUCAAGAUCUCCAAGGUCUCGUUCCCACUCUUAUUCACCGUCGCCUUCUCCAGUUAGGCGUGACUUCAGUCAACAAAGAAUAUAGAGUAUCUAAAAGAUCAAAAGACAACCAUGAUGUUGAAGAAUAAAGGCCAAAGUGAAAGUACCAUGACCUCCAGGGUUGGAGCAUGUGAAAGGCAUUUCUGUUAAAGAUAAAGUGGUACUGUCAGCCAGAGUUUAAUGAUAAUUGGUUAAGAAACCUGAGGGAAAGAGUAUUUUGAAGUUGAGCCAGCUUGUUAAGAAACCUGAGGGAAAGAGUAUAUUGCACAAUUGCAUGUUUGGAUCAAAGUGGGUAGCUUUUAUUGAUAUGGGGCAGGGGCAGGGGACACCGGGAUGAUUAUUCCCCUGAGUACUCACACUCUCCACGUCCUCGGGACAACAGGCGCUACAGGUCAGAUAGUAGCUCUCCAAGCCUAGACCACAAACCUCAGUCGACAGCAGUCAAUAAUGGACAUAAUCCAGCAGCUGUAUCCAGUCCCAGAUAAUAUGAUGCCAGUAUGGAUGCCUUCAGUGGAGUUCGGAGGCUGGAGACUGCAGACUAUAUUUUCGUCAAUCUUCUCUAAGAGAUGCGUAGGUUUGUAGUAAACAGAUGCUUGUAAUUGUAUUACAGGUGAUGGUUUGGGUUUUGACUGUUGAGGCACGCUGUUGCUUUUGUGACGCUGCUUUAAUGCUUUACCAACCGAUGGUACCAUUGUGGAAUUUUGCGCGUUUGUUUUUGGCUUGAAUACUACCAACAUAUCAUCUUUUCGCACAUGUUAACCCUUGUUAAUUACCGCGUUAGAUGCCUUA